This 1191-nucleotide ribosomal RNA is filed under the name Triticum aestivum (bread wheat). Its description in RNAcentral is "partial small subunit ribosomal RNA". Lineage: Eukaryota; Viridiplantae; Streptophyta; Magnoliopsida; Poales; Poaceae. The record is from RNAcentral.
AUGGAGGCCUACUCGAGGGACCUGCUGCGCGGCGUCGGCGGGGGAGGCGAGGCCGGUCGCGGCGAGGAGAAGCCGGGGCGCCUGGAUUCGCAGACCGAGGAGGUCGAGCUUAGCCUCGGCCUGUCGCUCGGGGGGCGAUUCGGGCAGGAGAGGAGGAGGGGCGAGGGGCUCGCCAGGUCCUCGUCCGUCGCCUGCAUCCAGCAGGUGACGCCGGCGCCGCCCGCGCUCGCCAGGACAAGCUCCCUGCCGCCUAUGGCGGAGGCGGAGGCGGGGAACAGCGCCGCUUCCCUUAGGAGCGGCGUCGAGGUCCAGCCGCAGGGGAGUGGUGCCGGUGCCGCUCUUAACGGCGUCGUGGUGGAGCCCGCAGCUUUGCCACGGGCGAGCUUGAGCCCCCCGUCCACAGGCUCGUCGGACGGCGAAGGGAAGCUGCGGGCGAGCUUGAGCCCCCCGUCCACAGGCUCGUCGGACCGCGAAGGAAUCCUCGCGAGGACAAGUUCACUCCCUGCUGGCAUCGAGGAUGGGUGGAGGAAGAGGAAGCUAGCAGAAACUCUGAACAAACUCGAAAUGAAGAGGAGUAUCGACAGGAUGAACUCUUCCAACGCUUCUGUAGGGGAGGUUGGAGAGAACCCAGAUGAAAUGAGUGAGCAGGCAGGAGGAAAGGCAACAGUACAAAGAAUGAACCGUACCAAUGUGAGGCGUCGCUUGAGUGGGCUUCCUCCACCAUAUCAGCCUCCAGCUGCAUCACAAGGUCCGAAAAGGAAUUCAGCUUUGAAAGGAACUCCUGGCGCUCUAGAGCGGAGCCUGUCAUCGGCUGUUCUGCCCUCGUCUGAGGGUGCAAAAAGCAGCGCCGUGACAACCCCUUCAUCUUCAGCAUCGGUGGUGAGAGCAGCAGCCCCUGGCAUCUCCACAGGGGAGCAGCAGGAUGGUUCAGAAAGGCCGGCGGCAAGAGCUACUAGGACCAGGAGCGUGGCAGACAUGGUGCGGAAGAUGCCGGUGGUGUACACCAGCGGGCUCCCCAACGGCGAGAGGAUCGACGGCUUCUUGUACCAGUACAGCAGAGCUGAGGAGGUGAGGAUUGUGUGUGUGUGCCAUGGUAGCUUCCUGACUCCGGCGGAGUUUGUGGCGCAUGCCGGAGGCAGCGAAGUCACCCACCCAAUGAGGCACAUCGUCGUCAACCCCCCGUCGCUCUAG